This 1552-nucleotide ribosomal RNA is filed under the name Salmonella enterica subsp. enterica serovar Enteritidis. RNAcentral's name for it is "partial 23S ribosomal RNA". It matches the Rfam family "Bacterial large subunit ribosomal RNA", at positions 1268 to 2803 of the family's 2925-position model. Lineage: Bacteria; Pseudomonadati; Pseudomonadota; Gammaproteobacteria; Enterobacterales; Enterobacteriaceae. The record is from RNAcentral.
GGUUGCUGGAGGUAUCAGAAGUGCGAAUGCUGACAUAAGUAACGAUAAAGCGGGUGAAAAGCCCGCUCGCCGGAAGACCAAGGGUUCCUGUCCAACGUUAAUCGGGGCAGGGUGAGUCGACCCCUAAGGCGAGGCCGAAAGGCGUAGUCGAUGGGAAACGGGUUAAUAUUCCCGUACUUGGUGUUACUGCGAAGGGGGGACGGAGAAGGCUAUGUUGGCCGGGCGACGGUUGUCCCGGUUUAAGCGUGUAGGUGUGUGUUCCAGGUAAAUCCGGUUCACUUUAACACUGAGGCGUGACGACGAGGCACUACGGUGCUGAAGCAACAAAUGCCCUGCUUCCAGGAAAAGCCUCUAAGCAUCAGGUAACAUCAAAUCGUACCCCAAACCGACACAGGUGGUCAGGUAGAGAAUACCAAGGCGCUUGAGAGAACUCGGGUGAAGGAACUAGGCAAAAUGGUGCCGUAACUUCGGGAGAAGGCACGCUGACACGUAGGUGAAGUGAUUUACUCAUGGAGCUGAAGUCAGUCGAAGAUACCAGCUGGCUGCAACUGUUUAUUAAAAACACAGCACUGUGCAAACACGAAAGUGGACGUAUACGGUGUGACGCCUGCCCGGUGCCGGAAGGUUAAUUGAUGGGGUCAGCGCAAGCGAAGCUCCUGAUCGAAGCCCCGGUAAACGGCGGCCGUAACUAUAACGGUCCUAAGGUAGCGAAAUUCCUUGUCGGGUAAGUUCCGACCUGCACGAAUGGCGUAAUGAUGGCCAGGCUGUCUCCACCCGAGACUCAGUGAAAUUGAACUCGCUGUGAAGAUGCAGUGUACCCGCGGCAAGACGGAAAGACCCCGUGAACCUUUACUAUAGCUUGACACUGAACAUUGAGCCUUGAUGUGUAGGAUAGGUGGGAGGCUUUGAAGUGUGGACGCCAGUCUGCAUGGAGCCGACCUUGAAAUACCACCCUUUAAUGUUUGAUGUUCUAACGUGGACCCGUUACCCGGGUUGCGGACAGUGUCUGGUGGGUAGUUUGACUGGGGCGGUCUCCUCCUAAAGAGUAACGGAGGAGCACGAAGGUUGGCUAAUCCUGGUCGGACAUCAGGAGGUUAGUGCAAUGGCAUAAGCCAGCUUGACUGCGAGCGUGACGGCGCGAGCAGGUGCGAAAGCAGGUCAUAGUGAUCCGGUGGUUCUGAAUGGAAGGGCCAUCGCUCAACGGAUAAAAGGUACUCCGGGGAUAACAGGCUGAUACCGCCCAAGAGUUCAUAUCGACGGCGGUGUUUGGCACCUCGAUGUCGGCUCAUCACAUCCUGGGGCUGAAGUAGGUCCCAAGGGUAUGGCUGUUCGCCAUUUAAAGUGGUACGCGAGCUGGGUUUAGAACGUCGUGAGACAGUUCGGUCCCUAUCUGCCGUGGGCGCUGGAGAACUGAGGGGGGCUGCUCCUAGUACGAGAGGACCGGAGUGGACGCAUCACUGGUGUUCGGGUUGUCAUGCCAAUGGCACUGCCCGGUAGCUAAAUGCGGAAGAGAUAAGUGCUGAAAGCAUCUAAGCACGAAACUUGCCCCGAG